GGUGCCAACGGUAUAGUAAACACUGCUCCAGCCGUGGUGGAAAGUGUCAGUACGCUGGCGACACUUGCAAUGGCGAAUACGUAAACGGUGGUGAAUGCCCUGGAGGAGACAACUGUCAGUGCUGCCUCCGGUGCAAACAGUAUAGUAAACAGUGCUCCAGCCGUGGUGGAAAGUGUCAGUACGCUGGCGGCACAUGCAAUGGCGGAUAUGUCAAGGAUAAAUGCCUUGAAAAAGACAACUGUCAGUGCUGCCUCCCCUGUAAGCAGGGUGGAAAGUGUCAGGCGCUUGGUGAGAUGUGUCAGGAAAAGAACAACCCGAACGUGACAUGCAACGGAAAAUACUACCCGGACAUGUGCUCCGUGGAUGCAGAAAACUGUCAGUGCUGCAUUGAAUGCAAACAGAAUACAAACUGUUCGAUAUUUGGUGGAGUAUGCCAGUACGUUGGUGAGAAAUGCAGAGGAACGUACUUCCCAUACCAGUGCUCUGAAAAACUCCACUGUCAGUGCUGCG
This is a long non-coding RNA of Lethenteron reissneri (Far Eastern brook lamprey), 510 nucleotides long. RefSeq lists it as uncharacterized. The record is from RefSeq and is a predicted model, not a curated record. Lineage: Eukaryota; Metazoa; Chordata; Hyperoartia; Petromyzontiformes; Petromyzontidae.